GUCUUCUCAUCAAACUCCUUUCUGUCAAUUGUGGCAUUUUAUGGAUUCACAUGAGAAGAAACAAUUCAUGGAACCAGCAUUAUUUUUCCUUUGGUUUUUUACAGGAGUGUAUUUGGCUUACAGAUAUUC
Molecule: small nucleolar RNA, 129 nt
Filed under: Dipodomys ordii (Ord's kangaroo rat)
Lineage: Eukaryota; Metazoa; Chordata; Mammalia; Rodentia; Heteromyidae
Description: Small nucleolar RNA SNORA75 (ENSDORG00000022430.2)
Source: RNAcentral